This 721-nucleotide non-coding RNA is filed under the name Pongo abelii (Sumatran orangutan). Lineage: Eukaryota; Metazoa; Chordata; Mammalia; Primates; Hominidae. The record is from RNAcentral.
UGCCUGGAGUGAAGAUUCUGCCCAUUGGUCAAGAGACCUCCCUCUCAGAUGCUGGCUCUGCCCCUGCCUUUGGGGGUCGACCCUUGUACUCGCAGGACCUUAGGUGACUCUGACUUUGUCAAAGGAAAAAUUUCUGCAUGUGCACACACAGAUCUUGGAAGUUUAUUCAUCUCAGCAGAGGCAGACAGGAGCAUCAACAGCCUUGGGGACAGCAGCAGUGGUGAUUCUACUUCUCUGAUCAUCCAGGAAACCAAUCUGCCUGAGGACGAGUCAUACUCUGUCCUCCCACCCCAGGCUAGAGAGUGGUAUCUGUCUUUCCACAAGUUGCCACCCCUUCUGCCCUGGGAACCUGAGUUGCCUGUGCUUCAACACUAUUCUUCAUUCUGCCUUUCACAAAAUGUACCACCUAAGUGAUAAUGGAUCUGAAUGAUGCAGUGUUGCAAUCCCAUUUUAUAAAUGAGGCAACCAAAACUCAAACAGGACCAUAUUGUGACUGAAACAAGGCAUAACAGGUCUUUGACUAGCUAUCCUGUGGGUGUGGCCUCAGGGUAGCCUGCAGAAAGUGGUGAGCAAGGUGGUUGGGAAAAUCAAAGGAGGGGGUAAGGUAGUGGCAGGUAACUAUCGAUAAUCUGCUCUUCUUCACAGAAAGACAGGCAAUUAGAUUGAAAAAUACCUGUGAUUCAAAGAAGUCACAAGUCACAGAGACAAACUUUUCCCAGUG